UGCCAGCCGCCGCGGUAAUACGGAGGGUGCAAGCGUUAAUCGGAGUUACUGGGCGUAAAGCGCGCGUAGGUGGUCUGUUAAGUCGGAUGUGAAAGCCCUGGGCUCAACCUGGGAACUGCAUCCGAUACUGGCAGACUAGAGUGCGGGAGAGGGAGGUAGAAUUUCAUGUGUAGCGGUGAAAUGCGUAGAGAUGUGGAGGAAUACCAGUGGCGAAGGCGGCCCCCUGGAUCGAUACUGACGCUGAGGUGCGAAAGCGUGGGGAGCAAACAGGAUUAGAUA
Molecule: ribosomal RNA, 279 nt
Filed under: uncultured bacterium
Lineage: Bacteria
Description: partial 16S ribosomal RNA
Rfam family: Bacterial small subunit ribosomal RNA
Source: RNAcentral